GAUGAACGCUGGCGGCGUGCCUAAUACAUGCAAGUCGAGCGAACGGACGAGAAGCUUGCUUCUCUGAUGUUAGCGGCGGACGGGUGAGUAACACGUGUAUAACCUACCUAUAAGACUGGGAUAACUUCGGGAAACCGGCGCUAAUACCGGAUAAUAUUUUGAACCGCAUGGUUCAAAAGUGAAAGACGGUCUUUCUGUCACUUAUAGAUGGAUCCGCGCUGCAUUAGCUAGUUGGUAAGGUAACGGCUUACCAAGGCAACGAUGCAUAGCCGACCUGAGAGGGUGAUCGGCCACACUGGAAGGGAGACACGGUCCAGACUCCUGCGGGAGGCAGCAGUAGGGAAUCGUCCGCAAAGGGCGAGAGCCUGACGGAGCAACGGCGCGUGAGUGAUGAAGGUCUUCGGAUCGUAAAACUCUGUUAUGAGGGAAGAACAGAUGUGUAAGUAACUGUGCAGAUCGUGACGGUAACGAAUCAGAAAGCAACGGCUAACUACGUG
This 497-nucleotide ribosomal RNA is filed under the name uncultured bacterium. RNAcentral's name for it is "partial 16S ribosomal RNA". It matches the Rfam family "Bacterial small subunit ribosomal RNA", at positions 28 to 507 of the family's 1533-position model. The record is from RNAcentral.